GUGACCUCAAAUCAGGUAGGACUACCCGCUGAACUUAAGCAUAUCAAUAAGCGGAGGAAAAGAAACUAACAAGGAUUCCCCUAGUAACUGCGAGUGAAGCGGGAAAAGCUCAAAUUUAAAAUCUGGCGGUCUUUUGGCUGUCCGAGUUGUAAUCUAGAGAAGUGUUAUCCGCGCUGGACCGUGUACAAGUCUCCUGGAAUGGAGCAUCAUAGAGGGUGAGAAUCCCGUCUUUGACAUGGACUGCCAGGGCUUUGUGAUGCGCUCUCCAAAGAGUCGAGUUGUUUGGGAGUGCAGCUCAAAAUGGG
RNAcentral lists this ribosomal RNA (305 nucleotides) under uncultured Cortinarius. RNAcentral's name for it is "eukaryotic LSU rRNA". It matches the Rfam family "Eukaryotic large subunit ribosomal RNA", at positions 1 to 296 of the family's 3401-position model. Lineage: Eukaryota; Fungi; Basidiomycota; Agaricomycetes; Agaricales; Cortinariaceae. The record is from RNAcentral.